This 1013-nucleotide ribosomal RNA is filed under the name marine metagenome. Its description in RNAcentral is "bacterial SSU rRNA". It matches the Rfam family "Bacterial small subunit ribosomal RNA", at positions 33 to 1078 of the family's 1533-position model. The record is from RNAcentral.
ACGCUGGCAGCGUGCAUAACACAUGCAAGUCGAACGGUAGUAUUAUCUUCGGAUAAUAUGAGAGUGGCGAACGGGUGAGUAACACGUAAGAAUCUACCUUUAGGACGGGGAUAACUUCUGGAAACGGAUGCUAAUACCCGAUAUGCUGUGGAGUGAAAUGAAUUUCGCCUAAAGAUGAUCUUGCGUCUGAUUAGCUAGAUAGGGUGGUAAUGGCGCCCUAUGGCGACGAUCAGUAGCUGGUCUGAGAGGAUGGACAGCCACAUUGGGACUGAGACACGGCCCAAACUCCUACGGGAGGCAGCAGUGGGGAAUUUUCCGCAAUGGGCGAAAGCCUGACGGAGCGACGCUGCGUGAAGGAUGACGGCCUGAGGGUUGUAAACUUCUUUUCUCGAAGAAGAAUCAAUGACGGUAUUCGAGGAAUAAGCAUCGGCUAACUCUGUGCCAGCAGCCGCGGUAAGACAGAGGAUGCAAGUGUUAUUCGGAUUGAUUGGGCGUAAAGCGUCUGUAGGCGGUUUAGAAAGUCUUUUGUGAAAUACUUCAGCUCAACUGGGGCUCCGCAAAAGAAACUUCUAGACUUGAGGGAAGUAGAGGUACAGGGAAUUUCCGGUGGAGCGGUGAAAUGCGUAGAUAUCGGAAGGAACACCAAUAUGGCGAAGGCACUGUACUGGGCUUUUCCUGACGCUCAGAGACGAAAGCUGAAGGAGUGAUUAGGAUUAGAUACCCUAGUAAUUUCAGCCGUAAACGAUGAAAACUCACUGUCGAGCCAAUAUAUGGAGCGGUGGUCAAGCUAACGCGUGAAGUUUUCCGCCUGGGGAUUACGCAUGCAAAUGUGAAACUCAAAGGAAUUGACGGGGACCCGCACAAGCGGUGGAGUAUGUGGUUUAAUUCGAUGCAACGCGAAAAACCUUACCAGGGUUUGAAAUAAUUUCAAAACUUCUUGAAAGAGAAGCCUCCUUCGGGAUGGAAUUACAGGUGGUGCAUGGCUGUCGUCAGCUCGUGUUGUGAAAUGUCAA